RNAcentral lists this ribosomal RNA (190 nucleotides) under Aeromonas hydrophila. RNAcentral describes it as "partial 16S ribosomal RNA". It matches the Rfam family "Bacterial small subunit ribosomal RNA", at positions 1 to 182 of the family's 1533-position model. The record is from RNAcentral. Lineage: Bacteria; Pseudomonadati; Pseudomonadota; Gammaproteobacteria; Aeromonadales; Aeromonadaceae. RNAcentral also lists the same sequence under 1 other name.
AAAUUGAAGAGUUUGAUCAUGGCUCAGAUUGAACGCUGGCGGCAGGCCUAACACAUGCAAGUCGAGCGGCAGCGGGAAAGUAGCUUGCUACUUUUGCCGGCGAGCGGCGGACGGGUGAGUAAUGCCUGGGAAAUUGCCCAGUCGAGGGGGAUAACAGUUGGAAACGACUGCUAAUACCGCAUACGCCCUA